RNAcentral lists this long non-coding RNA (970 nucleotides) under Homo sapiens (human). RNAcentral describes it as "HSALNT0010626". Lineage: Eukaryota; Metazoa; Chordata; Mammalia; Primates; Hominidae. The record is from RNAcentral.
GUGUAAUUCUUUUUUAUCAGUAAAAGCUCAUUGGAAAUGAGAAAACAGCAACAGAUUCCUAUUAGAUUAAGUUGCUUAGAGAUGAAAAGAUCAGGUACAUGUACACCACACAUACAUAUAGUGAAACAGUAUCAGAAAUUAUAUUUUCAAUUGGAAAUUUUAUUUUACUUAUGUCUGACUUUAAAAAGGUAAAUAAUAUUGAAUUAAUGCUAUUUACAAAGAUAUAUUCCUAAAGCAUAAGAACAUAAAAAGAUUAAAAAUAAAAGGACAUUAAAAAUACCAUGUAAAAAUAGGCCAGCCAUAGUGGCUCACACUUGUAAUCGCAGCAUUUUGAAGGCCCAAGGUAGAUGGAUUGCUUGAGGCCAGCAGCUCAAGACCAGUGUGGGAAAUAUGGUGCAACCCCAUCUCUACAAAAACUACAAAAAUUAGAAGGGUGUGGUGGUAUGUGCCUGUGGUCCCAGCCACUCAGGAGGCUAAGGUAGAAGAAUCACCUGAGCCAGGGAGGUCAGGGCUGCAGUGAGCCGAGAUAGCACCACUGCACUCCAGCCUAGGCAACCCUGUCUCUAAGGAAAAAAAAAAACUUAAAAAAAAAACAACCAACCAACCAAACAAAAAACUAAAGGCAAUGAGUACAAUAGAAUGAUGAUUAAAAAAGGAAUAAUUCACCAGGAAUACGAAAUAGUUCAAAAUUUUAUGCACCUAAUAACAACCCUCAAAAUAGGUAAAAGAAAAAGAGUUAACAGAAUUCAAAGGAGAUUUUUCUCAAGCUCACAUGGAAAAAAAAAAAAGAACUUAAAGGAAAAAUUUAUAACUUAAUAAUCACCAUGAGAAAGUAAAACCUAUCUCUCUCAGUGAUUGGUUGAUUAAGCAGACCAAAAUUAUUUAGGAUAUAGAAAAUUCGAACAAUAUAAUCACAAGCUUAAUCAUAGUGGAACUUGCACUUGGCAAUUAGAAUAUAUACAUUCUUUUC